CCUACGGGAGGCUGCAGUGAGGAAUAUUGGUCAAUGGACGAGAGUCUGAACCAGCCAAGUAGCGUGAAGGAUGACUGCCCUAUGGAUUGUAAACUUCUUUUAUAUGGGAAUAAAACGUUCCACGUGUGGGAUUUUGUAUGUACCAUAUGAAUAAGGAUCGGCUAACUCCGUGCCAGCAGCCGCGGUAAUACGGAGGAUCCGAGCGUUAUCCGGAUUUAUUGGGUUUAAAGGGAGCGUAGGUGGAUUGUUAAGUCAGUUGUGAAAGUUUGCGGCUCAACCGUAAAAUUGCAGUUGAAACUGGCAGUCUUGAGUACAGUAGAGGUGGGCGGAAUUCGUGGUGUAGCGGUGAAAUGCUUAGAUAUCACGAAGAACUCCGAUUGCGAAGGCAGUUCACUGGACUGCAACUGACACUGAGGCUCGAAAGUGUGGGUAUCAAACAGGAUUAGAUACCCUAGUAGUC
Molecule: ribosomal RNA, 460 nt
Filed under: uncultured bacterium
Lineage: Bacteria
Description: partial 16S ribosomal RNA
Rfam family: Bacterial small subunit ribosomal RNA
Source: RNAcentral